CCCUUAGAUGUCCUGGGCCGCACGCGCGCUACACUGAGUGUCUGAGAUACGAGUCUGCCUGGUCCGGCAAGGUCUAGGUAAUCGCUAAAAGACACAUCAUGCUUGGGAUAGAUUAUUGCAAAUAUUAAUCUUGAACGAGGAAUUCCUAGUAAGCGCAAGUCAACAGCUUGCGUUGAUUACGUCCCUGCCCUUUGUACACACCGCCCGUCGCUACUACUGAUGGGAUGUUUAAGCGAGGUUCUCGAACUGCUAGCGACUUAGCUUCGGUGAGGUCGCAGUGUGGGAAGUGAACCUAGCUUUGGUGUCUAGAGGAAGUAAAAGUCGUAACA
RNAcentral lists this ribosomal RNA (329 nucleotides) under uncultured eukaryote. Its description in RNAcentral is "partial 18S ribosomal RNA". It matches the Rfam family "Eukaryotic small subunit ribosomal RNA", at positions 1470 to 1796 of the family's 1831-position model. The record is from RNAcentral.